GGCUUGUUGAUAAUAAUUUCAAGUCUGACCUGCCCACUGAAUUAAAUUAAAUGGCCGCGGUAUAUUGACCGUGCAAAGGUAGCAUAAUUAUUAGUUUUUUAAUUGAAAGAUUGAAUGAAGGGUUUUAUGAGAAAGUUUCUGUCUCUAGAAAAAUUUAUUAGAAUUUUAUUUUUAAGUGAAAAAGCUUAGAUUUUUAUAGAAGACGAGAAGACCCUAUAGAGUUUUAUAUUUAUAUUUUUUAUUUUAACUUUUGUUUAUAAAGUUAAUUUUUAAUUUAAAUAUUUUAUUGGGGUGAUUGAAAAAUUUAAUAAACUUUUUUUUAUUAAAAACAUUGAUUUUUGAGCUAUUGAUCCUAUUUUUUAGAUUAAAAGAUUUAAUUACCUUAGGGAUAACAGCGUAAUUUUUCUUAGAGUUCUUAUCGAAAGAAGGGAUUGCGACCUCGAUGUUGGAUUAAAAUAAAUUGUUGGUGUAGAAGCUAAUAAAUUGAGUCUGUUCGACUUUUAAAAUUUUACAUGAUCUGAGUUUAAACCGGUGUGAG
Molecule: ribosomal RNA, 538 nt
Filed under: Trigonopterus sp. 837 AR-2022a
Lineage: Eukaryota; Metazoa; Arthropoda; Insecta; Coleoptera; Curculionidae
Description: partial large subunit ribosomal RNA
Rfam family: Bacterial large subunit ribosomal RNA (bases 388-538)
Source: RNAcentral